GAAAAAAAAAAGAUAAGACGAAAGAAAAAGAGAAGAGAGGAGGAGAGUUUUUGAGGUUUUUCUCAAAUCUACAAAGAUCUAAGCCCCCAAUCUCCAAUCUAACUUUGGAAACGUGAUCUACACGUGUGGAUCUACGUUUUAACUGGUUGUUUUGAGGUAUUUGGCUACUAAGAGGUUGCUUAAGGCUACCCAAACCUUCGAUUUUGGUUUGGCGAACUUUGGUGGUGCUUCGCGAGUUGAACUUAGAGUCGUUGGAAUUGGUGUGCGAAUGGCCUAAGAUGGAGCUUCUUUGGAUGCAGGUAUUGAUGAUGCGGAGGAUGACUCCGUUGCACACUAUGUGGAGUACUACGACUACGCACGUCGCUUGAGUCACAGGAGUGUCAGACUCGGAUAGUCCCUUUUGUGUAUUUUGUAUAUGGCUAGUGUGACUUGUAACACGUAGAUGUAGCCAUUCUUUUGUAUGCAUACCUUAUGCUUAAGCCUCAAACAGAUAGACAUUAAUAGGCUCUUUUAUGUAAUGGACAGUUUAUGA
Alnus glutinosa is the source of this 532-nucleotide long non-coding RNA. RefSeq lists it as uncharacterized. The record is from RefSeq and is a predicted model, not a curated record. The transcript is spliced from 4 exons. Lineage: Eukaryota; Viridiplantae; Streptophyta; Magnoliopsida; Fagales; Betulaceae.